This 532-nucleotide ribosomal RNA is filed under the name uncultured bacterium. Its description in RNAcentral is "bacterial SSU rRNA". It matches the Rfam family "Bacterial small subunit ribosomal RNA", at positions 791 to 1319 of the family's 1533-position model. The record is from RNAcentral.
UAGUCCACGCCGUAAACGAUGAGUGCUAGAUAUCGGGAAAUUUAUUUUUCGGUUUCGUAGCUAACGCAUUAAGCACUCCGCCUGGGGACUACGAUCGCAAGAUUAAAACUCAAAGGAAUUGACGGGGGCUCGCACAAGUGGUGGAGCAUGCGGUUUAAUUCGAUGCUACGCGAAAAACCUUACCAACCCUUGACAUGGUGGUCGCGGGGACCAGAGAUGGACCCUUUCAGUUCGGCUGGACCACACACAGGUGUUGCAUGGCUGUCGUCAGCUCGUGUCGUGAGAUGUUGGGUUAAGUCCCGCAACGAGCGAAACCCUCAUCCUUAUUUGCCAGCGGUUCGGCCGGGAACUAUAAGGAAACUGCCGGUGAUAAGCCGGAGGAAGGUGGGGACGACGUCAAGUCCUCAUGGCCCUUACGGGUAGGGCUACACACGUACUACAAUGGCAGAUACAAACCGUUUGCAAAGCCGCGAGGUUGAGCUAAUCGGUAAAACACUGUCCCAGUCCGGAUUGGAGUCUGCAACUCGACUCC